UCUUGGUCAUUUAGAGGAAGUAAAAGUCGUAACAAGGUCUCCGUUGGUGAACCAGCGGAGGGAUCAUUAUCGAGUUAUUCAACUCCCAAACCCUAUGUGAACCUACCACUUGUUGCUUCGGCGCGCGCUUCGGCGCCGCCGAGGACACAUAAACUCUUUGUUUUUAUAAGCAUUUCUGAGUGGCCGAAAGGCAAAAAUACAAAUGAAUCAAAACUUUCAACAACGGAUCUCUUGGUUCUGGCAUCGAUGAAGAACGCAGCGAAAUGCGAUAAGUAAUGUGAAUUGCAGAAUUCAGUGAAUCAUCGAAUCUUUGAACGCACAUUGCGCCCGCCAGCAUUCUGGCGGGCAUGCCUGUUCGAGCGUCAUUUCAACCCUCGAGCCCGACUCUUUUGAGGACGGCUCGGCGUUGGGGGACGGCAGACUCCCCCCGGCAUCUCGCCGGGGACGCCGCCCCCGAAAUCUAGUGGCGGCCCUCCGAGGCGACCUCUGCGUAGUAACUUGUUCUCGCACCGGAAAGCUCAGAGCGGCCACGCCGUAAAACCCCAACUUUUUUCAGGUUGACCUCGAAUCAGGUA
This 575-nucleotide ribosomal RNA is filed under the name uncultured fungus. RNAcentral describes it as "eukaryotic LSU rRNA". The stretch from base 212 to 365 matches the Rfam family "5.8S ribosomal RNA". The record is from RNAcentral. Lineage: Eukaryota; Fungi.